UGCAAGUCGAACGGCAGCACGGGAGCAAUCCUGGUGGCGAGUGGCGAACGGGUGAGUAAUAUAUCGGAACGUGCCCAGUCGUGGGGAUACGUAGCGAAAGCUACGCUAAUACCGCAUACGAUCUAUGGAUGAAAGCGGGGGAUCGCAAGACCUCGCGCGAUUGGAGCGGCCGAUAUCAGAUUAGGUAGUUGGUGAGGUAAAGGCUCACCAAGCCGACGAUCUGUAGCUGGUCUGAGAGGACGACCAGCCACACUGGGACUGAGACACGGCCCCAGACUCCUACGGGAGGCAGCAGUGGGGAAUUUUGGACAAUGGGCGCAAGCCUGAUCCAGCAAUGCCGCGUGCAGGAUGAAGGCCUUCGGGUUGUAAACUGCUUUUGUACGGAACGAAACGGUGAGCUCUAAUACAGUUUGCUAAUGACGGUACCGUAAGAAUAAGCACCGGCUAACUACGUG
RNAcentral lists this ribosomal RNA (455 nucleotides) under uncultured bacterium. RNAcentral's name for it is "bacterial SSU rRNA". It matches the Rfam family "Bacterial small subunit ribosomal RNA", at positions 56 to 507 of the family's 1533-position model. The record is from RNAcentral.